GAUGAAGAACGCAGCGAAAUGCGAUAAGUAAUGUGAAUUGCAGAAUUCAGUGAAUCAUCGAAUCUUUGAACGCACCUUGCGCUCCUUGGUAUUCCUUGGAGCAUGCCUGUUUGAGUAUCAUGAGCAAAUCUCAAAGUCGAUCCUUUUGUUAAUUCAAUUGGUUUGCUUUGGACUUGGAGGCCUUGCAGAUUUCACCGUCUGCUCCUCUUAAAUGCAUUAGCUGGAUCUCAGUAUUAUGCUUGGUUCCACUCGGCGUGAUAAGUAUCACUCGCUGAGGACACUGUAAAAGGUGGCCAGGAAAAUACUGAUCGAACCGCUUCUAACUGUCUAUUAACUUAGACAAUUACCCUUAAGUUUGAUCUCAAAUCAGGUAGGACUACCCGCUGAACUUAAGCAUAUCAAUAAGCGGAGGA
This 413-nucleotide unclassified non-coding RNA is filed under the name soil metagenome. Its description in RNAcentral is "partial contains 5.8S ribosomal RNA, internal transcribed spacer 2, and large subunit ribosomal RNA". The stretch from base 1 to 120 matches the Rfam family "5.8S ribosomal RNA", at positions 35 to 154 of the family's 154-position model. The record is from RNAcentral.